This 423-nucleotide ribosomal RNA is filed under the name uncultured bacterium. RNAcentral describes it as "bacterial SSU rRNA". It matches the Rfam family "Bacterial small subunit ribosomal RNA", at positions 202 to 622 of the family's 1533-position model. The record is from RNAcentral.
AAGACCUCGCGCUAUUAGAGCGGCCGAUGCCCGAUUAGCUAGUUGGUGGGGUAAUGGCCCACCAAGGCAACGAUCGGUAGCUGGUCUGAGAGGAUGAUCAGCCACACUGGGACUGAGACACGGCCCAGACUCCUACGGGAGGCAGCAGUGGGGAAUUUUGGACAAUGGGCGAAAGCCUGAUCCAGCCAUGCCGCGUGAGUGAAGAAGGCCUUCGGGUUGUAAAGCUCUUUCAGCCGGAACGAAAUCGUCCGGGCUAAUACUCCGGAUGGAUGACGGUACUGGAAGAAGAAGCACCGGCUAACUACGUGCCAGCAGCCGCGGUAAUACGUAGGGUGCAGGCGUUAAUCGGAAUUACUGGGCGUAAAGCGUGCGCAGGCGGCUUUUCAAGUCAGAUGUGAAAUCCCCGGGCUUAACCUGGGAACU